CAUUGAUACAGUCCACAGAGGUGAAAUCCCCAGAGUGGAGGUGAGUGGAUCAGGGGCAAGUGGAAGUUGCCCAGCAUGGGCACGAAUACCCUUCCUAGAAGCGCCCAGCUGCCUUCUUAUUGUAACCCAGUGACCAUAUCUGGGUUUACAUGCCCGUUUCUAGACCCAUCACAGGCAAACCAGAAUGGAAUGCCAUACUGGCUGCCUUGGGAAAAUUGUGAUGUGCUGUUCACGGGAACAGCAGUGAGUCUAUCGUGUCCAUUAAGAGCAGGGGCUCUGAAGCCUGAUGGCCACAGUUCAAAUCCUGACUCCAUCACUCCUCAGUUAUAUAACCCGUGCCCAGGAGCUUAACUUUUUGUUCCUCAGUUUCCCAUCUGUAAAAUGGUGAUAAUGACACUUCACAGGUUGAUGUAAUGAUUAAAUGUUUAAUGUACAAAAGGUGCUUAACACAGUACUUGGCUCACAGCAAAGGUUAACUACCGAUCACCUAGUGUAUAUUUCAAAGUAGCUAGAAGAUAGCAAUUCAAAUGUUUCUAGCAUGAAGAAAAGACAACAAUUUAAGGCAAUGUAAAUCCUGAUGAUAAUGAUUUGAUCUUUACAAGUUAUUCAAACGUGUUAAAUGAUCACAUGUAUCCCCAAUGUAUGCACAACUAUUAUGUAUUAAUAAAAAAUAAAUUUUUUAAAAAUUAAA
This is a long non-coding RNA of Cebus imitator (Panamanian white-faced capuchin), 691 nucleotides long. RefSeq lists it as uncharacterized. Lineage: Eukaryota; Metazoa; Chordata; Mammalia; Primates; Cebidae. The record is from RefSeq and is a predicted model, not a curated record. The transcript has 2 exons.